RNAcentral lists this small RNA (1100 nucleotides) under Arabidopsis thaliana (thale cress). Its description in RNAcentral is "ATSL201580". The record is from RNAcentral. Lineage: Eukaryota; Viridiplantae; Streptophyta; Magnoliopsida; Brassicales; Brassicaceae.
CUUUAUAAGAGUUUUAAAAAGAUUUUAAAAUGAUUUACAAAGUGAUAAUAGGUUUUUGAGAUCAAUUAAUCCUAAAGCACUAUCAUGUCGUUGUAGUACUAAAGGUUGUCAAUCCAAAUGGUUGUGAUGCUAACAAUCAAGAUGUGAUCAGAAGUCACUAAGUCAAGCGAAGCAAUAACAGGUUUUGGUGUGUUCUAGCAGUUCUAAUUGAACAUGUAGAAAACAGAAAAUCAAGCAGAAACAAUAAAACACUCGACCAACACAGCUCGUUGCAGAGUACUGGGUGUGGUCGAGUGACAGGUCAAGUAACAAACAGAAAAUGUAACAGGGAUACUCGGCUGCACAGUCUGUUGCCAGACAACUGGGUGGUCGAGUACCAGGUCGAGUAACAGUAAAGAAUUGCAGGAACUAAGCAACAGAUGAUAAGAUGCAGUUAACAACAGUAGAGUAAACAUUAAAAUCAAUCAAAUAAAGAAUUCCCGAGGAUGGGUAGUUGAGUAGUUUUGUUUCCUCAGUUUACAGGUGAUUGACAUGCUUAAUAAAUUAUCCCUAGACAACAAGUUCCUUAACCAAAUCUAAGUUAACCUAGUCCCAGACUCAAUCACCAUUGACGAGAGCUAACCUAAUAGGCAUUACGAAUCAACAAGUUAAAGCCAAAACGCUCCCUGCAACCAAUACCUUGGUACAGGGCCACGAAUCUCUGGAAUUAGUGGUUUAGACAUUUCAUCGAACACCUUUUGGGCGCAGAAAUGUCUAGGCUCAAAUUCCAGUUGAUCAGAAAGAAAUAAGCAUUAAGAACAACUAAUCCAGAAGGGAUCUAUCAAUCAAACUCAACCACCUAGCAUACUGAGAAUUCUACAUUACUCUAACCCAUCCUCAAAAACCUAUUAACUACUCAGACAUCAUUGCAGAAAGCAUAAACGUUGAAUGGAAUGAAAACAUGAUAACAAUAGAGUAAUAGCAAGAUGGUAACAGGAUGGACAACAGUAAACGAAAUCAAGAACAAAUAGUGAAUACUGAAUAUUGAAUAGAUAAAGAGAAAUCCGGAUUACAAAAGGUCAAGAACACAGUGUCUGCGGAAUAAAACUUAGAUAAAAACU